UACGUAGGGUGCGAGCGUUGUCCGGAAUUAUUGGGCGUAAAGAGCUUGUAGGCGGUCUGUCGCGUCUGCUGUGAAAAUCCGGGGCUCAACCCCGGACUUGCAGUGAGUACGGGCAGACUAGAGUGUGGUAGGGGAGACUGGAAUUCCUGGUGUAGCGGUGAAAUGCGCAGAUAUCAGGAGGAACACCGAUGGCGAAGGCAGGUCUCUGGGCCACUACUGACGCUGAGAAGCGAAAGCAUGGGGAGCGAACAGG
This 253-nucleotide ribosomal RNA is filed under the name uncultured bacterium. Its description in RNAcentral is "partial 16S ribosomal RNA". It matches the Rfam family "Bacterial small subunit ribosomal RNA", at positions 524 to 776 of the family's 1533-position model. The record is from RNAcentral.